RNAcentral lists this ribosomal RNA (408 nucleotides) under uncultured bacterium. RNAcentral's name for it is "partial 16S ribosomal RNA". It matches the Rfam family "Bacterial small subunit ribosomal RNA", at positions 28 to 526 of the family's 1533-position model. The record is from RNAcentral.
GACGAACGCUGGCGGCGUGCUUAACACAUGAAUGUCGAACGAAGUGGCGAACGGGUGAGUAACGCGUAAUCAACCUGCCCUUCAGAGGGGGACAACAGUUGGAAACGACUGCUAAUACCGCAUAAUUAAGGAGGGGAUUGCGUCUGAUGAACUAGUUGGAGGGGUAACGGCCCACCAAGACGAUGAUCAGUAGCCGGUCGGAUAGGAGGAACGGCCACAUUGAGACUGAGACACGGCCCAGCCUCCUACGGGAGGCAGCAGUGGGGAGUCUGCCGCAAUGGACGAAAGUCUGACGGAGCAACGCCGCGUGAGUGAUGACGGCCUUCGGGUUGGAAAGCUCUGUUAAUCGGGACGCGGUACCGGAAUAGAGAGCCACGGCUAACUACGUGCCAGCAGCCGCGGUAAUUC